UACAGGGGGGGCAAGCGUUGUUCGGAAUUACUGGGCGUAAAGGGCUCGUAGGUGGCCAACUAAGUCAGACGUGAAAUCCCUCAGCUUAACUGGGGAACUGCGUCUGAUACUGGAUGGCUUGAGUUUGGGAGAGGGAUGCGGAAUUCCAGGUGUAGCGGUGAAAUGCGUAGAUAUCUGGAGGAACACCGGUGGCGAAGGCGGCAUCCUGGACCAACACUGACGCUGAGGAGCGAAAGCGUGGGGAGCGAACAGG
This 253-nucleotide ribosomal RNA is filed under the name uncultured bacterium. Its description in RNAcentral is "partial 16S ribosomal RNA". It matches the Rfam family "Bacterial small subunit ribosomal RNA", at positions 524 to 776 of the family's 1533-position model. The record is from RNAcentral.